GGGUACAGUGCUAGCAGAAUUAUCUAGAGCCUCCAAAAAAGAAGAAACAAAACUUCAGAACUACGAAGACGCUCAGGCCAAAAGACUUGCCCAAAGCGGUAAAACGGUGGAGCAGAGUUUCACAUCCGGAUGACUAAAAGGCACUUGGAUACUUGCCCAGAGGUCUGGCUUGCUCUCGGAAGCUGGAAUCACUUGGCUGUUGGAUUGCCGAG
This is a long non-coding RNA of Prionailurus viverrinus (fishing cat), 212 nucleotides long. RefSeq lists it as uncharacterized. The transcript has 3 exons. The record is from RefSeq and is a predicted model, not a curated record. Lineage: Eukaryota; Metazoa; Chordata; Mammalia; Carnivora; Felidae.